RNAcentral lists this microRNA (22 nucleotides) under Petromyzon marinus (sea lamprey). RNAcentral describes it as "pma-miR-193". Its record names the gene pma-miR-193. Lineage: Eukaryota; Metazoa; Chordata; Hyperoartia; Petromyzontiformes; Petromyzontidae. The record is from miRBase by way of RNAcentral.
CACUGGCCCGUAAAGUCCCGAC